Molecule: long non-coding RNA, 1306 nt
Organism: Fundulus heteroclitus (mummichog)
Lineage: Eukaryota; Metazoa; Chordata; Actinopteri; Cyprinodontiformes; Fundulidae
Exons: 3
Source: RefSeq, a predicted model, not a curated record
UGCUCCUGAUGGUGGCACUCUUCCCUCAUUUGCAGCUGAGAAAGAUUCACAGACCAUUAAAGAAGACAGCGGAGAAGUAUUUCUGACCUCUUCUCCCACAGAAACGAGUUUAAAGAGAACCAGGGAAGUGGCAAAUACCAAACCUGGACACCAGGAUCUUCCCUGCACACAAUCUUCUCCUGAGUCAGGAAACACUCAGACUAAGAAAAGGAUAAAAACAUCGUUUUGGUUAACCCUGUCCCAACUGUUUCAUUAUAAGGUCACCCAACUUGGGGCUUACUUGCUACAUGCACUCCAUCCUCCAAAGCCUCCUGACCCUGAGCUGCUUUGUUAAAGAGCUCCACACCCAGCUGUCGGUGUGGAUCUCUCACCCCAGAGCCCAGCUCUUCAGGUACAGCCCACCAGACAACAAAACAUGGGUGUCAAAGUCCAGUCUUCGAGGGCCGGCGUCCUGCCAGGGACACAUCUAAAAGUUUCAGGGCUUUGGACUGAUUGGAGCUUAAAGCCAUGCUCUAAAAGAUCUAGGGCUGCAACUAACAAUUAUUUUAAUAUAUUAACCAGUCAAUUUUUUUUGAUUGAUCAAUGAAUCGGACAAAAAAGUUUAUGUUUUCAAUUUCCAGCUCUUCUUCGAAGAGUCAAAAAGGUUGUCAGACAUUUAAAACUUUGUUUUUCUUGUGAGGGUUUUACAUUUUUGAGGAUGUCCUUUAAGGACACUUACUUUUGUUUUUUCCAUAAGGGUCUUUAAUUUUGGUCUGCAUCUUAUCAUUCUGAGUGUCUCAAAAUGUUGUUAUGGUUACAUAAUAACAAAAGACUUGAUUCUGGAAAAGUUAGUUUGUAGCCUUGCUCCUCACUACCAUACAGUUCCUUCACUCAGACGUCUGCAAAUUAAAACUUUAAAGUUGAAUUAACAAAUUAUUACCAUCCAUCAGUAGGAACAACAUUGUAUUUGAGUGAGGGCUGGUUUAUGCCGAUCCAUAAUCCGAUCAGCGUCCGUUUUAACUCAUGAACUUGCUGCGCAUGCAUGUGGAGGACGGGGCAGCAGCGCUUUGAGGGAUGAUCAUUUCCUCCCAACAUCUGCAGCACCAUGAGUUGCUGAGCCGGUGUUUAAUUAUGGAAACCAGUAAUUAUGUGUGAGCGAUAUGAAGAAAAUCUAAUGUCCCGAUAUCUUUGGGCUAUAUCGCAAUACACGAUAUAUAUCACAAUAUGAUCAAAUAACCUUGAAAAUCAAACGUUUUUAGCCACAUAGUGCCUAAAGUUGCAUUAGUAUAUCUCAAAUUAACAUGUAAUUUUUUUGUUUGAAAAAUUG